This 301-nucleotide ribosomal RNA is filed under the name uncultured bacterium. Its description in RNAcentral is "partial 16S ribosomal RNA". It matches the Rfam family "Bacterial small subunit ribosomal RNA", at positions 509 to 807 of the family's 1533-position model. The record is from RNAcentral.
AAGCCGCCACGGUAAUACGUAGGGUGCAAGCGUUAAUCGGAAUUACUGGGCGUAAAGCGUGCGCAGGCGGUUUGUUAAGACAGAUGUGAAAUCCCCGGGCUUAACCUGGGAACUGCAUUUGUGACUGGCAAGCUAGAGUCUGGCAGAGGGGGGUGGAAUUCCGCGUGUAGCAGUGAAAUGCGUAGAUAUGCGGAGGAACACCGAUGGCGAAGGCAGCCCCCUGGGCCAACACUGACGCUCAUGCACGAAAGCGUGGGGAGCAAACAGGAUUAGAUACCCCCGUAGUCCCUGUCUCUUAUAC